GAGAUAAGUAAAAGUAAUGAGUCACUUUUGAAAAUCUUAGCCUUCAAAUGUUAUAUUCUUUCUUACAGCUGCCUCAAUUAAAAACACUUGAUUAGCAUCUCCGUAUUCCUGUACUGCACAUGCUGUAAAGUUCCGUAAGUCCAAGCAUCCUAUCGAACACAUCUUUUUUAAGGCUUCUUGGAAUGAAAGGAAGCCUACCUCUACACAAGUUAUUGUAGUCAGUGAACAGUCCUUGGACAAUGAAAAAAUGCAAAUCCCUCCAGAGAUCCAGAUUAUUUUUGAAGGAGAAAACCAAAAACUUUUCCAGCUCUUUUUCUUAAAGCA
RNAcentral lists this long non-coding RNA (324 nucleotides) under Calidris pugnax (ruff). RNAcentral describes it as "lncRNA (ENSCPUG00000015802.1)". Lineage: Eukaryota; Metazoa; Chordata; Aves; Charadriiformes; Scolopacidae. The record is from RNAcentral.